AUACGGAGGGUGCAAGCGUUACUCGGAAUCACUGGGCGUAAAGCGCGCGCAGGCGGGCUGAUAAGUUGGAUGUGAAAGCCUACGGCUCAACCGUAGAACUGCAUCCAAAACUGUCAGUCUAGAGUCUGGGAGGGGAAGAUGGAAUUAGUUGUGUAGGGGUAAAAUCCGUAGAGAUAACUAGGAAUACCAAAAGCGAAGGCAAUCUUCUGGAACACUACUGACGCUGAGGCGCGAAAGCGUGGGGAGCAAACGGGAUUAGAAACCCUAGUAGUCC
This 274-nucleotide ribosomal RNA is filed under the name uncultured bacterium. RNAcentral describes it as "partial 16S ribosomal RNA". It matches the Rfam family "Bacterial small subunit ribosomal RNA", at positions 523 to 796 of the family's 1533-position model. The record is from RNAcentral.